ACAGUGGACGCGAGCAUCUGUGGCCAAGUUUUUAAGGGCGCACGGUGGAUGCCUUGGCACCAGGAACCGAUGAAGGACGUGGGAGGCCGCGAUAGUCCCCGGGGAGUCGUCAACCAGGCUUUGAUCCGGGGGUUUCCGAAUGGGGAAACCCGGCAGUCGUCAUGGGCUGUCACCCACUGCUGAACACAUAGGCAGUGUGGAGGGAACGAGGGGAAGUGAAACAUCUCAGUACCCUCAGGAAGAGAAAACAACCGUGAUUCCGGGAGUAGUGGCGAGCGAAACUGGAUGAGGCCAAACCGUAUGCGUGUGAGACCCGGCAGGGGUUGCGUAUACGGGGUUGUGGGAUCUCUCUUUCACAGUCUGCCGGCUGUGAGACGAGUCAGAAACCGUUGAUGUAGACGAAGGACAUGCGAAAGGUCCGGCGUAGAGGGUAAGACCCCCGUAGUCGAAACGUCAGCGGCUCGUUUGAGAGACACCCAAGUAGCACGGGGCCCGAGAAAUCCCGUGUGAAUCUGGCGGGACCACCCGCUAAGCCUAAAUAUUCCCUGGUGACCGAUAGCGGAUAGUACCGUGAGGGAAUGGUGAAAAGUACCCCGGGAGGGGAGUGAAAUAGUACCUGAAACCGUGUGCCUACAAGCCGUGGGAGCGUCGGA
This 653-nucleotide ribosomal RNA is filed under the name Streptomyces longwoodensis. RNAcentral's name for it is "bacterial LSU rRNA". It matches the Rfam family "Bacterial large subunit ribosomal RNA", at positions 1 to 586 of the family's 2925-position model. Lineage: Bacteria; Bacillati; Actinomycetota; Actinomycetes; Kitasatosporales; Streptomycetaceae. The record is from RNAcentral.